RNAcentral lists this ribosomal RNA (397 nucleotides) under Neoseiulus barkeri. Its description in RNAcentral is "partial 12S ribosomal RNA". The record is from RNAcentral. Lineage: Eukaryota; Metazoa; Arthropoda; Arachnida; Mesostigmata; Phytoseiidae.
UUAGAUACCCUAUUAUUGAAUUUAAUUUUUGGUAGUAAUUGUUUUACAAGAAACCAAAUUUUAUUGGCGGCUUUUAAAUUAUAUUAGAGGAAUUUAUUUGAUAAAGGAUAUAACACCAAAAUCUUACUUUUUUUUGUAAAUCAGUUUGUAUACCGCUAUUUAUAUAUAAAAGGAUUUAUAUAGUAUUUUCUUAUUGAAAAGAAAUGUUUUAGGUUAAGGUGCAGCUUAUGAAAAAGUUAAAAAUAAAUUAUAUUAAUAAGAUUUUAACGAUAUUAUUAAACGAUAAGUAUACAAAUAAUUUAGGAAAAUUUAAAAGUAAAAUUUAUAUAUGAUGUAAAUUUGAAUUUAUAAUUAAGAGUGUACAUAUUGCCCGUCAUUCUCUAGGAGAUAAGUCGUA